Non-coding RNA from Lupinus albus (white lupine), 271 nucleotides. The record is from the annotation of a GenBank genome assembly. Lineage: Eukaryota; Viridiplantae; Streptophyta; Magnoliopsida; Fabales; Fabaceae.
AUGGUGGGAAUGAGGAAAGAUCCUAGAGUUGGCGGCGGUGUCGGUGGAACUAGCGCAGUUAACCAGUACCCAACCCAACACUCACCAAGAUAAACAGAUGACAUGAGGUGGUCUUAUUUUUGGAAGCUUAGGAGCUUUAUGUUUUGGUUUCAAUUAUUAGCACUAUUUUGUACAUGAGUGCUUAUUGGAUUACUUGGAAUAUUUUGUAACUAUGGAUAUAUAACUUAUCUGAUUUAUUGUAACUCUGCAUAUUCGUAUCUAUGGGUAUUUU